Molecule: ribosomal RNA, 490 nt
Filed under: uncultured bacterium
Lineage: Bacteria
Description: partial 16S ribosomal RNA
Rfam family: Bacterial small subunit ribosomal RNA
Source: RNAcentral
AUUGAACGCUGGCGGCAGGCCUAACACAUGCAAGUCGAACGGUAACAGGAAGAAGCUUGCUUCUUUGCUGACGAGUGGCGGACGGGUGAGUAAUGUCUGGGAAACUGCCUGAUGGAGGGGGAUAACUACUGGAAACGGUAGCUAAUACCGCAUAACGUCGCAAGCCCAAAGAGGGGGACCUUCGGGCCUCUUGCCAUCGGCUGUGCCCAGAUGGGAUUAGCUAGUAGGUGGGGUAACGGCUCACCUAGGCGACGAUCCCUAGCUGGUCUGAGAGGAUGACCAGCCACACUGGAACUGAGACACGGUCCAGACUCCUACGGGAGGCAGCAGUGGGGAAUAUUGCACAAUGGGCGCAAGCCUGAUGCAGCCAUGCCGCGUGUAUGAAGAAGGCCUUCGGGUUGUAAAGUACUUUCAGCGGGGAGGAAGGGAGUAAAGUUAAUACCUGUGCUCAUUGACGUUACCCGCAGAAGAAGCACCGGCUAACUCCGUG